RNAcentral lists this ribosomal RNA (499 nucleotides) under uncultured bacterium. RNAcentral's name for it is "partial 16S ribosomal RNA". It matches the Rfam family "Bacterial small subunit ribosomal RNA", at positions 28 to 507 of the family's 1533-position model. The record is from RNAcentral.
GACGAACGCUGGCGGCGUGCCUAAUACAUGCAAGUCGAGCGGACCGAACAGGAGCUUGCUCUUGUUCGGUUAGCGGCGGACGGGUGAGUAUCACGUGGGUAACCUGCCCGUAAGACCGGGAUAACUCCGGGAAACCGGAGCUAAUACCGGAUAACACCGAAGACCGCAUGGUCUUUGGUUGAAAGGCGGCUUCGGCUGCCACUUACGGAUGGGCCCGCGGCGCAUUAGCUAGUUGGUGAGGUAACGGCUCACCAAGGCGACGAUGCGUAGCCGGCCUGAGAGGGUGACCGGCCACACUGGGACUGAGACACGGCCCAGACUCCUACGGGAGGCAGCAGUAGGGAAUCUUCCGCAAUGGACGAAAGUCUGACGGAGCGACGCCGCGUGAGCGAAGAAGGUCUUCGGAUCGUAAAGCUCUGUUGUUAGGGAAGAAGAAGCGUCGUUCGAACAGGGCGGCGCGGUGACGGUACCUAACGAGAAAGCCCCGGCUAACUACGUG